CAGGGACAAUUUUAUACAUUCCCAACAUUUUUAUAUGAACUAACAUUUUAUAGUUAAAAUAGCUUAUUUAUUUAAUAUACUUAAGGAUAUCAAGAUAUUACCAAAUUUAUUAUAAUACAUAAAGUACCCUCAUUAUAAAACAAUAUUGGAGAAUAAUUUCAGAUUUUUAGAGGUGUAUUUUGGCACCAUUCAUAUAUUUCUUGCCAAAAAUUUUUUAUGAUUACAAGUUUCCGUCCUAUUAUUUAUUCCAUGUGAUAUUUUUUCUUUACUUUCUAUUUGUAAUCACUGACAGAAAUUUAUUUUAUAAGUAUCUAUAUAUUUAUCUGACAUUCCAUAUUGUUAUUGAAAUGUUUUCCGUCCAAAACAUACUUGUGAUAAAAAAAUAUCCGCAUACAUCUUUUUUGUGGAAUGUUUAGGCCGUAUUUAUGUCUUUUUUUUUUUUUUAUUGUUUUACAAUUAUAUAUCUACUUUGUUUUGUGUAAACUGUCUAACAUUUUGUCUAAUUUUAGAAGUGUUUUGGGUUGACAGUAUGGGUAUAGUUGAUACAUUAAUACAUUCAAACAUCAAUAGUUUGAUAAUAAAUGAGUAGAAUC
This 593-nucleotide long non-coding RNA is filed under the name Mytilus galloprovincialis (Mediterranean mussel). The record is from RNAcentral. Lineage: Eukaryota; Metazoa; Mollusca; Bivalvia; Mytilida; Mytilidae.